GUAGGUGGCAAGCGUUGUCCGGAUUUACUGGGCGUAAAGCGCGUGUAGGUGGUUUGGAAAGUCCGGGGUGAAAUCUUGCGGCUCAACUGCAAGAGGUCCUUGGAUACUUCCAGACUUGAGGGAGGCAGAGGAAGGUGGAAUUCCCGGUGUAGUGGUGAAAUGCGUAGAUAUCGGGAGGAACACCAGUGGCGAAGGCGGCCUUCUGGGCCUUUCCUGACGCUGAGGCGCGAAAGCGUGGGUAGCAAACCGGAUUAGAUACCCGGGUAGUCCACGCCCUAAACGAUGAGCACUAGGUGUGGGGGGUAUCGACCCCCUCCGUGCCGAAGCUAACGCGAUAAGUGCUCCGCCUGGGGACUACGGCCGCAAGGCUAAA
Molecule: ribosomal RNA, 373 nt
Filed under: uncultured bacterium
Lineage: Bacteria
Description: bacterial SSU rRNA
Rfam family: Bacterial small subunit ribosomal RNA
Source: RNAcentral